This is a long non-coding RNA of Artibeus jamaicensis (Jamaican fruit-eating bat), 505 nucleotides long. RefSeq lists it as uncharacterized. The transcript has 3 exons. Lineage: Eukaryota; Metazoa; Chordata; Mammalia; Chiroptera; Phyllostomidae. The record is from RefSeq and is a predicted model, not a curated record.
CCGCCCGCCCACGCGCAGAAAUGACGUGAUUUCUCACGCCCCUUCCGGCAGCGGGGUGGGCAGGCUGCUGGGCGUUAGUCCUUGGGCCUGGCGGUCGGCUUCCCGCGGGUUCCUGAAGGCUGGUCGCAGGUCUUGGAACCGGCACAGAGUGGAUAUCUCCUGAAAGCCUUCCAAGUGCUUAGCCAAGUACUGUAACAAAACAAAGGAGGACUGCAAGCAAUUCAGGAUGAUAUCUGAGCCAUUGUACUCCAGGGUGAGACCACUACAGCCCAAGACACAGCUAAAGACCACCGCCUGGGGCACAGCUUAAGACCACCACUCAGGACAAGAACACUGAAGUUGUUUUUUUAAUCCAACUAACGUUUCCCUGAAUUCCAAACCUACACUUUGUUCUCCUUAUAAAAACGACCAUUUUAAAAUGUAAUUUAAGACGGUCUAUUAGGGUACAAACCCGCCAUCUUCUCAGAUCGGCAACCAUCUAAAUAAAGUUCUCAUAAAGAUUCAA